RNAcentral lists this unclassified non-coding RNA (52 nucleotides) under Sorangium cellulosum So ce56. Its description in RNAcentral is "sce_snoPyro_CD_3". Lineage: Bacteria; Pseudomonadati; Myxococcota; Polyangiales; Polyangiaceae. The record is from RNAcentral.
GAACAUGAAACGUAGGAGGCUCCGCGCGCCUGUCGUGAUCACUUCCAGGUGC